GUAUAGCCCUUUGCAACAAGGCGACCUUUAAGUCUAUCAAUUUGGCGAUCAGGCCCCGCCUUGACUAUAUAAAGCCAUCGACAGCCAACAAUUGAUUUGCCCUUCGGUAAUGGCACCAAAUCCCAAGUGUCAUUAUUAUGGAGAGCAGUCAUCUCCUCUAUCAUUGCAUUACGCCACCUUGGAUGUGAUAAUGCUUGCUUAACAGUCUUUGGGAUAGGAACAUUAGACAAAGUAGAAACAAAGGCAAAAUAGGAAGGGCAUAAACAAUGAUAACUCAGAAAAUUAUAAAUACGGUGAGGGUUGUGAGAUGAACGAAUACCUUUUCGAAGGGCAAUGGGAGGAGUAGUUGCUUUUGCUUGUGGCAUAACUGAUGUAGGUGAUGGUAGUGGUACAGGAGGUGAGUCACUUUGAUUUGGUUGUCUACCUAUAUCAUCAUGAGGAAUAGUAUGUGAGUUAGCAGAAAUAUUGGGGGGAGGUCGUCGUGUGUAGACCUGAAGAGGAGGUGGGAUGAUUUUUGGAGCAAGAACAAUGGGAACUAGUAAAGCCUUAGAAAUAUUGUUUUGGUGUACUGUAUUUGGUGAGAAGUAUGAUGAAUCUUCAAAGAAGGUUACAUCUGCAGAGAUGAAAUGUUUGUUUGUAGUUGGGUCAUAACAUUUGUAACCUUUUUGUAGAUGAGAGUAUCCUAGGAAGACACAUUUAAUAGAUUUUAGUUGAAGUUUGUCUUUUCCUAGAUUAAGAUUAUGCACAAAACAGAUACAACCAAACACAUGAGGAGAAAGAGGGUAAGGAGUUUGAUCUAGAAACAAAAUGGAAUGAGGACUGUAAUUUGUAAUACAAAAGAAGGCAUACGAUUAAUUAAGGAACAAAUAGUAAAAAUAGCAUCCUCCCAAAAACAAAGUGGAACGUGAUAGUGUAUGAGUAAGGUACGUGCG
Molecule: unclassified non-coding RNA, 932 nt
Filed under: Hevea brasiliensis (rubber tree)
Lineage: Eukaryota; Viridiplantae; Streptophyta; Magnoliopsida; Malpighiales; Euphorbiaceae
Source: RNAcentral